CCUACGGGAGGCAGCAGUAGGGAAUAUUGCGCAAUGGGGGAAACCCUGACGCAGCAACGCCGCGUGGAGGAUGAAGGUUUUCGGAUUGUAAACUCCUGUUGUUAGAGAAGAUAAUGACGGUAUCUAACGAGUAAGCACCGGCUAACUCCGUGCCAGCAGCCGCGGUAAUACGGAGGGUGCAAGCGUUACGCGGAAUCACUGGGCGUAAAGAGCGCGUAGGCGGGAUAGCAAGUCAGAGGUGAAAUCCUAUGGCUUAACCAUAGAACUGCAUUUGAAACUGUUAUUCUAGAGUAUGUGAGAGGUAGGUGGAAUGCUUGGUGUAGGGGUAAAAUCCGUAGAGAUCAAGAGGAAUACUCAUUGCGAAGGCGACCUGCUGGCACAUAACUGACGCUGAUGCGCGAAAGCGUGGGGAGCAAACAGGAUUAGAUACCCGAGUAGUC
This 440-nucleotide ribosomal RNA is filed under the name uncultured bacterium. Its description in RNAcentral is "partial 16S ribosomal RNA". It matches the Rfam family "Bacterial small subunit ribosomal RNA", at positions 338 to 795 of the family's 1533-position model. The record is from RNAcentral.